This is a long non-coding RNA of Brassica napus (rape), 2379 nucleotides long. RefSeq lists it as uncharacterized. Lineage: Eukaryota; Viridiplantae; Streptophyta; Magnoliopsida; Brassicales; Brassicaceae. The transcript has 4 exons. The record is from RefSeq and is a predicted model, not a curated record.
UCGCUGGUUACUAUCACCACCAUCGCCAUCUCUCCCAUCCCCAAUCGCUCGUCACCACCACCACUGCUGGUGGAGCAUACAGGGAAGGCAUCGCCAUCCUGCAUCCGACAGUGUAGUGAACGAAAAGUACCUUAACGCGGGUUCUGGGAAUGAUCUCACUGAGGAAAAUAUGCGCGCGGGCACUCCUAAAUGUUGCAGCUGAGCAGCCAGAUAUGGAGAGGCUCCUUCAGAAACAUUUUACUUGCUUUGGAGGACGUCAACACGCUCUACAAACAAUCAGACACGCUCCUUAAGUUGUCCCAUACUCAAGUUCGUUUAUGCUUUAUAUGGUUUGAGUUCCUUUCUUUAAUUAUGUGUGUUGCAGAAGUCCAAGAGGGAUGACUCUUCCAAAACUAUGUCCCAACGUUUGCAAAGUGGUGGUCGUGACUCGUGAGCAAGAGCUAGUGUUGUGCAGAGGAGAUGUCUGGAACUCGUCUCCGUCUAGACUCACACGAAUGUUGCAGUCUCUCACUGGAAUUGCCAAGUGCAGCCUUUGAAGGUAUUGUGACAGUAAAGACUGAGACUUUCUUCUUCUCAGAGUUUUGCUUAUGUCUGCUGAUUCAUUUUUUUUUUUUUUUUUGAUAACUGUAAAUUAUAUUUCCAAAAUAAAAUUGGUUACAUGAGCUUCAAGAGCAGAGUACUUCUAUGGCCAAAAAAAAUUAAAAACCAGUGAGAAGCUAAGAGUUUGGUGCAGCAAAUUGUUAGCUAAGGUUAGCUAUACUUGAACCAUAAGGAGAGUAAGGUUGUACACCCCUUGUUGCGUCGUCUUGCUAGAAGAAUGUCCUCCGUAACCCUAUCAAUCCUGUUAAAGAUAGCUAGGGGAGUUGAUGGAGGUCUUCCAUGUUUCCUAUCAUUUCUUUCUCUCCAUAUGUGAUAGACUGUACCUUGACAGACAAUUAAACUGAGAAGCCUUCUCCUUGGUGACCAUCUCUGCUGGAGAAGCCACCCAAUCAUUGCUUGCCAAGAGGUAAAGAAUGUACGUGGAGCUCCCAACCUCUGUUUCACACGAUCCAUAUCUCCACUGCAAACCUGCAACGCAAGAGCAAACGAUCCCUAGUUUCCUCAUCAGUGGAGCAAAAAGUACAGGUUCCAAUAUCCAUCAAACCCCAUUGCACCAGUCGCUCAUUCACCGGCAACCUAUCAAGGUUAGCCACCCAGAAGUUAAAGGCGUGUUUAGGAACCAUGUUUUUGAACCAAACCACUUUUGACCACAUUAAAUCUUUAACCACUUAAGAAAGCGCUAUUAUACAUAACAGUUUUACGACCGGUAUUACUACUGCAUAACAGAAUAUAACUGUGUAAUUGGUUAUCUACUCUAUUAAAAGGGAAAUGCAUUUUAUAUUUGAUCAUGAAUUUUCUUCAAUAAUUACCAUGUUAUCUCUAAACUUUUACUCUAAUUAAGAGGCCUACAUGAAUUUAACUAUCCACAUUAAAAGCCCGCGUUACGUUUGUUUUGGGGGAUUAUGGUCAUUGUUUGACCUUUUUCAUAAAAUCAUUGUUUGACCUUACAAAUAUCUAUAUAUAUAUAAAAAUGUUUGCCUCCCUCCUGGUGAUGCCACAUCAGAUUCCAGCUAGAUAAGUAGUCUCAUGUAAACGUGACACGUGGCAUAAGAGUCGAUCCGCUGUGUUUCAUUAAACGUCUGUCGUCUCUCCUUCCACCGCCUUAACUUGGCCGAGUAACUGCUGUCGGUAACGCAUUUCAGUGAAUUCACCCCAUUAAAGUUGGAUUAUUUGGCUUCACUUUCAAGCUAAGUUGCUAUAUAUAUAAUGGCCCUCUUAUGUGGAUGAAACUCAAAGUCUUUUGCAUCUACUUAUCACACGAUAUCUCCCUCCAUCUCUUUCUACAUGUUAAAUCGUUUUAACUAUGCUGAUUUACAGGAUACAAGGCUGGGAGCCAUAACCAUGGACUCCAUCAGAUCUGACUCCAUCAGACAGAUGUACCGAGCAUCUCCCGGUUUCAGUGACUCUUGCUUGGCUCAACAAUGGCGGCAGUGAAGAUGGUAGAUUCUUGCUUGGCUCAACGGCGGCGGCUGGAGCAUGGUGAAUCAAGAGUAGUUAGAGCUGAAGGACGGGUUUGCUUGAAGCGCCGACGGUACGAUGACAAAACUGGAUCUCGGUGGAACACCAAUCACCAAUGGAAACGUCACCGGAAUAAUAUAUAUUUAUGCAUCUGAAGGACGGGUUUGCUUUACAUUUUUUUGUUUUAAAUGCGGAUUCGUUUUGAUAUGUGUUUGAAUAUACCGAGUAAUAAUUCACUAACCUCGAUUAUGUAAUUAUAAUGAUUUAUGCGGAGGGUGUGAUUUGAGGCGUAAUUAUCGUAUAAAUUUAAUUCCUGAUUAA